Molecule: ribosomal RNA, 1356 nt
Filed under: metagenome
Description: bacterial LSU rRNA
Rfam family: Bacterial large subunit ribosomal RNA
Source: RNAcentral
CAGGUUAAUAUUCCUGAGCCGUGAGGUAGUGACGGAUCGCAAAGGUAGUUUGCCCUUAUCGGAUUGGGUGGGCUGCUCAGCGGUCCCUGGAAAUAGCUCCUCUAUAAGACCGUACCCUAAACCGACACAGGUGGACUGGUAGAGAAUACCAAGGCGCUUGAGAGAACCACAUUUAAGGAACUCGGCAAAAUGCCUCCGUAAGUUCGCGAGAAGGAGGCCCCGUCUGUAGGCAACUAUGGGCGGGGGGCACAAACUAGGGGGUGGCGACUGUUUACUUAAAACACAGGGCUCUGCGAAGUCGUAAGACGACGUAUAGGGUCUGACGCCUGCCCGGUGCUGGAAGGUUAAAAGGAGAGGUGCAAGCCUUGAAUUGAAGCCCCAGUAAACGGCGGCCGUAACGAUAACGGUCCUAAGGUAGCGAAAUUCCUUGUCGGGUAAGUUCCGACCUGCACGAAUGGCGUAACGAUCUCCCCGCUGUCUCAAAUGUGGACUCAGCGAAAUUGAACUGUGUGUCAAGAUGCACACUUCCCGCGGUUAGACGGAAAGACCCCAUGCACCUUUACUAUAGCUUCGCACUGGCAUCAGGAUUGAGAUGUGCAGGAUAGGUGGUAGGCAUCGAACCGGGGACGCCAGUCCUCGUGGAGCCUCCCUUGAGAUACCACCCUUCUUACUCUUGAUGUCUAACCGCGGUCCAUUAUCUGGAUCCGGGACCCUGCGUGGUGGGUAGUUUGACUGGGGCGGUCGCCUCCUAAGUGUAACGGAGGCGCGCGAAGGUUGGCUCAGAGCGGUCGGAAAUCGCUCGUUGAGUGCAAUGGCAGAAGCCAGCCUGACUGCAAGACUGACAAGUCGAGCAGAGACGAAAGUCGGCCAUAGUGAUCCGGUGGUCCCGAGUGGAAGGGCCAUCGCUCAACGGAUAAAAGGUACGCUGGGGAUAACAGGCUGAUGAUGCCCAAGAGUCCAUAUCGACGGCAUCGUUUGGCACCUCGAUGUCGGCUCAUCUCAUCCUGGGGCUGGAGCAGGUCCCAAGGGUACGGCUGUUCGCCGUUUAAAGAGGUACGUGAGCUGGGUUUAGAACGUCGUGAGACAGUUCGGUCCCUAUCUGCCGUGGGUGUAGGAGAUUUGAGAAGAGUUGCCCCUAGUACGAGAGGACCGGGGUGAACGUUCCACUGGUGGACCAGUUAUCAUGCCAAUGGUAGUGCUGGGUAGCUAUGAACGGACAGGAUAAUCGCUGAAGGCAUCUAAGCGAGAAGCCCCCUUCAAAACAAGAUCUCCCUUGAGAGCCGUGGAAGACCACCACGUCGAUAGGCCAGAGGUGUAAGUGCAGCAAUGCAUUCAGCUGACUGGUACUAAUUGCUC